RNAcentral lists this ribosomal RNA (236 nucleotides) under uncultured bacterium. RNAcentral describes it as "partial 16S ribosomal RNA". It matches the Rfam family "Bacterial small subunit ribosomal RNA", at positions 118 to 351 of the family's 1533-position model. The record is from RNAcentral.
UGAGUAACCUGCCCUUAACUCUGGGAUAAGCCUGGGGAAACUGGGUCUAAUACCGGAUAUGACUCCUCAUCGCAUGGGUGGGGGGUGGAAAGCUUUUUUGUGGUUUUGGAUGGACUCGCGGCCUAUCAGCUUGUUGGUGAGGUAACGGCUCACCAAGGCAACGAUGCGUAGCCGACUGAGAGGGUGAUCGGCCACAUUGGAACUGAGACACGGUCCAGACUCCGUACGGGAGGCAG